ACGGAAGGCAGCAGUGGGGGAUAUUGCACAAUGGGGGAAACCCUGAUGCAGCGACGCCGCGUGAGCGAAGAAGUAUUUCGGUAUGUAAAGCUCUAUCAGCAGGGAAGAAAAUGACGGUACCUGACUAAGAAGCUCCGGCUAAAUACGUGCCAGCAGCCGCGGUAAUACGUAUGGAGCAAGCGUUAUCCGGAUUUACUAGGUGUAAAGGGAGCGUAGACGGCGUGGCAAGUCUGAUGUGAAAACCCGGGGCUUAACCUCGGGAUUGCAUUGGAAACUGUCGGACUUGAGUGUCGGAGAGGAAAGCGGAAUUCCUAGUGUAGCGGUGAAAUGCGUAGAUAUUAGGAGGAACACCAGUGGCGAAGGCGGCUUUCUGGACGAUAACUGACGCUGAGGCUCGAAAGCGUGGGGAGCAAACAGGAUUAGAUACCCUGGUA
This 434-nucleotide ribosomal RNA is filed under the name uncultured Lachnospiraceae bacterium. RNAcentral describes it as "partial 16S ribosomal RNA". It matches the Rfam family "Bacterial small subunit ribosomal RNA", at positions 341 to 792 of the family's 1533-position model. The record is from RNAcentral. Lineage: Bacteria; Bacillati; Bacillota; Clostridia; Lachnospirales; Lachnospiraceae.